Chelonia mydas (Green sea turtle) is the source of this 107-nucleotide long non-coding RNA. RefSeq lists it as uncharacterized. NCBI's taxonomy places the organism in Eukaryota, Metazoa, Chordata, Testudines, Cheloniidae. The record is from RefSeq and is a predicted model, not a curated record. The transcript is spliced from 3 exons.
UACCAGGUGUAAUUCGCAGCAUUUGUGUGCGUGUCCUACCAGUUAUAAUUCGCAGCGGUUGUGUGCGUGUCCUGCCAGGUGUAAUUCGUAGCAGUUGUGUGCGUGUC